GAAGGGUGCAAGCGUUACUCGGAAUUACUGGGCGUAAAGCGUGCGUAGGCGGUUUGUUAAGUCUGUCGUGAAAGCCCCGGGCUCAACCUGGGAAUGGCGAUGGAAACUGGCGAGCUAGAGUACGGUAGAGGAGAGUGGAAUUCCCGGUGUAGCAGUGAAACGCGUAGAGAUCGGGAGGAACAUCAGUUGCGAAGGCGGCUCUCUGGACCAGUACUGACGCUGAGGCACGAAAGCGUGGGGAGCAAACAGGAUUAGAUACCCUGGUAGUCCACGCCCUAAACGAUGCGAACUGGACGUUGGGAGCAAUUAGGCUCUCAGUGUCGAAGCUAACGCGUUAAGUUCGCCGCCUGGGGAGUACGGUCGCAAGACUG
RNAcentral lists this ribosomal RNA (371 nucleotides) under uncultured bacterium. Its description in RNAcentral is "bacterial SSU rRNA". It matches the Rfam family "Bacterial small subunit ribosomal RNA", at positions 527 to 896 of the family's 1533-position model. The record is from RNAcentral.